GUCCUAGGCAACGACUGUCAGGAAGUUCCCAAAAUAAGUCACUCACAACCUCAUCGUCCUGGUUUGGACCUUUUGUCAAUAAAGCCACUAUGAGGAUCUGUGUGCCAAUCUUCUUGUGGAGAACUUUUUAUUGAGGAGUGGAACUGCCAGUUCCCAUGCUGGCAAGGCGAACCCAUGGGGCGGUUACAGUGUCUGCAACGCAGACACAAGCGACAGAGACUUGAUCAGAAUAUACAAGGAACUCUGCAAGUCAGCGAUGGUAAGAAGCAGGGCAGCUGGGCCUCCUACGCCUGCCUCGCCGUUCGGUCCCCCGGACACCUCUGGGCUUAGGACUCAGGGGAACAGAUUCCCAGAAGCAGGUUCCCCGCCGCGUCCGGCGCCCGGGCUCUG
RNAcentral lists this long non-coding RNA (390 nucleotides) under Homo sapiens (human). Its description in RNAcentral is "HSALNT0360914". Lineage: Eukaryota; Metazoa; Chordata; Mammalia; Primates; Hominidae. The record is from RNAcentral.